UUUUUUCCUCCCUUCCUCCCCUCUGCCUCCCUCCACCUCCCCCUUUUCUUUUUUGCUGAAUCUUAUUGAUCCAGAAGGUGGCUAAUUAGCCCUUCCCGUCGUGCCUGGGUAAUGAAGCACAUGCGCACUGAAUUAAUCACAGCCAUUUUUUGCAGGAAACUAAUUAGCAGAAUAAAGAUCCAAAGACUUUUUUUUCUUUUCACUCAUCAGCUCCCACUUCCAGCGCGUCCCCUCCGACCGCUGCAGCCGCCGCCGCCGCCGCCUCCUCCUCCUCCUCCUCCCGGCCGCAGCCGCCGCCGCCACCGCCUGCUUUGCAUCCCAAUUACAGCCUAGAGCCGCUGCCGC
This 345-nucleotide long non-coding RNA is filed under the name Lynx pardinus (Iberian lynx). Lineage: Eukaryota; Metazoa; Chordata; Mammalia; Carnivora; Felidae. The record is from RNAcentral.